This 497-nucleotide ribosomal RNA is filed under the name uncultured bacterium. Its description in RNAcentral is "partial 16S ribosomal RNA". It matches the Rfam family "Bacterial small subunit ribosomal RNA", at positions 28 to 507 of the family's 1533-position model. The record is from RNAcentral.
GACGAACGCUGGCGGCGUGCCUAAUACAUGCAAGUCGAACGCUGAAGCUUUGUACUUGUACCCACUGGAUGAGCAGCGAACGGGUGAGUAACGCGUGGGGCAUCUGCCUUUGUUUGGUGGACAAUAUUUGAAAACGAAUGCUAAUACCGCAUAAAACCUUUAAACACAAGUUUUAAGUUUGAAAGAUGCAAUUGCAUCACUCAAAGACGAUCCCGCGUUGUAUUAGCUGGUUGGUGAGGUAAAGACUCACCAAGGCGAUGAUACAUAGCCGACCUGGGAGGGUGGUCGGCCACAUUGGGACUGAGACACGGCCCAAACUGCUACGGGAAGGAGCAGGAGGGAAUCGUCGGCAAGGGACGAAAGUCUGACCGAGCAACGCCGGGGGAGUGAAGAAGGUUGUCGGGUCGGAAAACUCUGUUGGUAGGGAAGAACGUGGGUGAGAGUGGAAAGCUGAUGAAGUGACGGUAACUACCCAGAAAGAAACGGCUAACUACGUG